This 587-nucleotide ribosomal RNA is filed under the name uncultured bacterium. Its description in RNAcentral is "bacterial SSU rRNA". It matches the Rfam family "Bacterial small subunit ribosomal RNA", at positions 338 to 916 of the family's 1533-position model. The record is from RNAcentral.
CCUACGGGAGGCAGCAGUAGGGAAUCUUCCGCAAUGGACGAAAGUCUGACGGAGCAACGCCGCGUGAGUGAUGAAGGCUUUCGGGUCGUAAAACUCUGUUGUUAGGGAAGAACAAGUACAAGAGUAACUGCUUGUACCUUGACGGUACCUAACCAGAAAGCCACGGCUAACUACGUGCCAGCAGCCGCGGUAAUACGUAGGUGGCAAGCGUUAUCCGGAAUUAUUGGGCGUAAAGCGCGCGCAGGCGGUUUCUUAAGUCUGAUGUGAAAGCCCCCGGCUCAACCGGGGAGGGUCAUUGGAAACUGGGGAACUUGAGUGCAGAAGAGGAGAGCGGAAUUCCACGUGUAGCGGUGAAAUGCGUAGAGAUGUGGAGGAACACCAGUGGCGAAGGCGGCUCUCUGGUCUGUAACUGACGCUGAGGCGCGAAAGCGUGGGGAGCGAACAGGAUUAGAUACCCUGGUAGUCCACGCCGUAAACGAUGAGUGCUAAGUGUUAGAGGGUUUCCGCCCUUUAGUGCUGCAGCAAACGCAUUAAGCACUCCGCCUGGGGAGUACGGCCGCAAGGCUGAAACUCAAAGGAAUUGACGG